GGCCGCGGUAUUAUGACCGUGCGAAGGUAGCAUAAUCAUUAGUCUUUUAAUUGAAGGCUGGAAUGAAUGGUCGGACGAGAAGUAAGCUGUCUUUAUCUCGUGGAUUGAAUUUAAUUUUUAAGUGAAAAGGCUUAAAUGAAUUAGAGGGACGAUAAGACCCUAUAAAGUUUAUACAUGGGGCUGGUUGAGAGUGAUUCAGAAUAGUAAAGUUUAUUAUUAGCAAGAUGUUUAGUUGGGGCGACUAAGAUAUAAAUUAUAUAACUGUCUUUUGUUUAAAUCAGAGGUAUCUGUUCGUAUGAUCCUUUUUUAGGAUUGGAGAGUAAAUUACUUUAGGGAUAACAGCGUAAUUUUUUUUGAGAGUUCUUAUCGACAAAAGAGUUUGCGACCUCGAUGUUGAAUUAAAAAUUUCUUUGUGGUGUAGCAGUUACGUAAGAAGG
RNAcentral lists this ribosomal RNA (437 nucleotides) under Cherax bicarinatus. RNAcentral describes it as "partial 16S ribosomal RNA". It matches the Rfam family "Bacterial large subunit ribosomal RNA", at positions 1929 to 2574 of the family's 2925-position model. Lineage: Eukaryota; Metazoa; Arthropoda; Malacostraca; Decapoda; Parastacidae. The record is from RNAcentral.